ACGUCUACAUUAGAUACCCCUGUAGUCCCAGCCGUAACUAUGCUCGCUAGGUGUCAGGCAUGGCGCGACCGUGUCUGGUGCCGCAGGGAAGCCGUGAAGCGAGCCACCUGGGAAGUACGGCCGCAAGGCUGAACUUAAAGGAAUUGCGGGGAGCACCACAACGGGUGGAGCCUGCGGUUUAAUUGGACUCAACGCCGGGAAGCUCACCGGAUAAGACAGCGGAAUGAUUGCCGGGCUGAAGACUCUGCAUGACUAGCUG
RNAcentral lists this ribosomal RNA (259 nucleotides) under uncultured archaeon. RNAcentral's name for it is "partial 16S ribosomal RNA". It matches the Rfam family "Archaeal small subunit ribosomal RNA", at positions 716 to 982 of the family's 1478-position model. The record is from RNAcentral.